Molecule: ribosomal RNA, 404 nt
Filed under: Actinomycetes bacterium
Lineage: Bacteria; Bacillati; Actinomycetota; Actinomycetes
Description: Actinobacteria bacterium partial 16S ribosomal RNA
Rfam family: Bacterial small subunit ribosomal RNA
Source: RNAcentral
UGGGGAAUAUUUGACAAUGGGCGCAAGCCUGAUCCAGCCAUGCCGCGUGAGUGAUGAAGGCCCUAGGGUUGUAAAGCUCUUUCACCGGUGAAGAUAAUGACGGUAACCGGAGAAGAAGCCCCGGCUAACUUCGUGCCAGCAGCCGCGGUAAUACGAAGGGGGCUAGCGUUGUUCGGAUUUACUGGGCGUAAAGCGCACGUAGGCGGACUAUUAAGUCAGGGGUGAAAUCCCGGGGCUCAACCCCGGAACGGACUUUGAUACUGGUAGUCUUGAGUUCGAGAGGGGUGAGUGGAAUUCCGAGUGUAAAGGUGAAAUUCGUAGAUAUUCGGAGGAACACCAGUGGGGAAGGUGGUGCACUGGCUCGAUACUGACGCUGGGGUGCGAAAGCGUGGGGAGCAAAAAGG